This 701-nucleotide long non-coding RNA is filed under the name Marmota monax (woodchuck). Lineage: Eukaryota; Metazoa; Chordata; Mammalia; Rodentia; Sciuridae. The record is from RNAcentral.
CCUCCCCUCACCCCACUCAUCCUGAUCCCUAUUCGAAGAAACAGAACAGAAGUCAAGCAAGGCUGGGCCCUUUCCUCACCACAGGGCUCUGGACUGGGUCUGGCUGAGAGUGGAGGAGAGAAGCUCUAAGAUAAGUAAGAAAUUUCAAUUAGUUUGUUUAGCGAGGUAUGAUUUCCAGAGGGUAAAAUUCACCACUACUAAUGAUCAGUAUCACAGUCAAGACAGAAAAUACCACCAUCACCUUAAAAAGGUUUUGGGUGCCCCUUCAUGGUGACCUCCUUUCUCCAUCCCCAGACCCUGGCAAUCACUGAUUGGUUUUCUCCUGUAGUUUUGCCUUUUCCAGAAUGUCAGAUAAAUGCAGUCACAAAAUAUGCGGCCUUUUGAGUCCGGUCUCUUUCUCUUGAUACAUGCAUUUGAGAUUCAUCAUGUUUCCCAAGCAUUAGAGCUUCCUUCUUUUUACUGGGCAAGAACUCCAUUGUGUGGGUGGCCACGGUUUGUCCAUCCAUUCACCUACUAAAAAGCAUUUGGAUUGCUUCCAGGCUUUGGCAAUUAUAAAUGAAGCCACCAUAAAUAUUCACAUGCAGAUUUUUGUCUGAACAUAAGCUUUUGUUUCUCUUGGGUAAACACCUAGAAUAGGAGUUUGGGUCAGAUGGCAGGUGCAUGUUUAUCUUUCAAGGACUCUGCCAAACUGUUCAAAAGUG